AUUGAACGCUGGCGGCAUGCCUUACACAUGCAAGUCGAACGGUAACAGGCCGCAAGGUGCUGACGAGUGGCGAACGGGUGAGUAAUGUAUCGGAACGUGCCCAGUCGUGGGGGAGUAACUGCUCGAAAGAGCAGCUAAUACCGCAUACGACCUGAGGGUGAAAGCGGGGGAGUCGCAAGACCUCGCGCGAUUGGAGCGGCCGAUAUCAGAUUAGGUAGUUGGUGGGGUAAAGGCCCACCAAGCCAACGAUCUGUAGCUGGUCUGAGAGGACGACCAGCCACACUGGGACUGAGACACGGCCCAGACUCCUACGGGAGGCAGCAGUGGGGAAUCUUGCGCAAUGGGCGAAAGCCUGACGCAGCCAUGCCGCGUGAAUGAUGAAGGUCUUAGGAUUGUAAAGUUCUUUAGCCUGUGACGAUGAUGACGGUAACAGGAGAAUAAGCCCCGGCUAACUUCGUGCCAGCAGCCGCGGU
RNAcentral lists this ribosomal RNA (473 nucleotides) under uncultured bacterium. RNAcentral's name for it is "bacterial SSU rRNA". It matches the Rfam family "Bacterial small subunit ribosomal RNA", at positions 29 to 521 of the family's 1533-position model. The record is from RNAcentral.